CAGGCUUAACACAUGCAAGUCGAGGGGCAGCGGGGGUAGCAAUACCCGCCGGCGACCGGCGCACGGGUGAGUAACGCGUAUGCAACUUACCUAUCAGAGGGGGAUAACCCGGCGAAAGUCGGACUAAUACCGCAUGAAGCAGGGGCCCCGCAUGGGGAUAUUUGCUAAAGAUUCAUCGCUGAUAGAUAGGCAUGCGUUCCAUUAGGCAGUUGGCGGGGUAACGGCCCACCAAACCGACGAUGGAUAGGGGUUCUGAGAGGAAGGUCCCCCACAUUGGUACUGAGACACGGACCAAACUCCUACGGGAGGCAGCAGUGAGGAAUAUUGGUCAAUGGCCGAGAGGCUGAACCAGCCAAGUCGCGUGAGGGAUGAAGGUUCUAUGGAUCGUAAACCUCUUUUAUAAGGGAAUAAAGUGCGGGACGUGUCCCGUUUUGUAUGUACCUUAUGAAUAAGGAUCGGCUAACUCCGUGCCAGCAGCCGCGGUAAUACGGAGGAUCCGAGCGUUAUCCGGAUUUAUUGGGUUUAAAGGGUGCGUAGGCGGCCUUUUAAGUCAGCGGUGAAAGUCUGUGGCUCAACCAUAGAAUUGCCGUUGAAACUGGGGGGGCUUGAGUAUGUUUGAGGCAGGCGGAAUGCGUGGUGUAGCGGUGAAAUGCAUAGAUAUCACGCAGAACCCCGAUUGCGAAGGCAGCCUGCCAAGCCAUUACUGACGCUGAUGCACGAAAGCGUGGGGAUCAAACAGGAUUAGAUACCCUGGUAGUCCACGCAGUAAACGAUGAUCACUAGCUGUUUGCGAUACACUGUAAGCGGCACAGCGAAAGCGUUAAGUGAUCCACCUGGGGAGUACGCCGGCAACGGUGAAACUCAAAGGAAUUGACGGGGGCCCGCACAAGCGGAGGAACAUGUGGUUUAAUUCGAUGAUACGCGAGGAACCUUACCCGGGUUUGAACGCAUUCGGACCGAGGUGGAAACACCUUUUCUAGCAAUAGCCGUUUGCGAGGUGCUGCAUGGUUGUCGUCAGCUCGUGCCGUGAGGUGUCGGCUUAAGUGCCAUAACGAGCGCAACCCUUGCCACUAGUUACUAACAGGUAAAGCUGAGGACUCUGGUGGGACUGCCAGCGUAAGCUGCGAGGAAGGCGGGGAUGACGUCAAAUCAGCACGGCCCUUACAUCCGGGGCGACACACGUGUUACAAUGGCGUGGACAAAGGGAGGCCACCUGGCGACAGGGAGCGAAUCCCCAAACCACGUCUCAGUUCGGAUCGGAGUCUGCAACCCGACUCCGUGAAGCUGGAUUCGCUAGUAAUCGCGCAUCAGCCAUGGCGCGGUGAAUACGUUCCCGGGCCUUGUACACACCGCCCGUCAAGCCAUGGGAGCCGGGGGUACCUGAAGUCCGUAACCGCGAGGAUCGGCCUAGGGUAAAACUGGUGACUGGGGCUAAGA
This 1437-nucleotide ribosomal RNA is filed under the name uncultured organism. RNAcentral describes it as "partial small subunit ribosomal RNA". It matches the Rfam family "Bacterial small subunit ribosomal RNA". The record is from RNAcentral.